GUCAUCGUUGGAUCAAGCUAGAGGUGUGUGAACGACAGGUAGCGAUGUCAUCGUUGGAUCAGCUAGAGGUGUGUGUGUGUGAACGACAGGUUAUCGUUGGAUCAGCUAGAGGUGUCGGUGAACGACAGGUCUAUCGUUGGUAUCAG
This is a long non-coding RNA of Priapulus caudatus, 146 nucleotides long. RefSeq lists it as uncharacterized. The record is from RefSeq and is a predicted model, not a curated record. The transcript has 3 exons. NCBI's taxonomy places the organism in Eukaryota, Metazoa, Priapulida, Priapulimorpha, Priapulimorphida, Priapulidae.